UAGAUUCAUGCAUAGGGAGUGGGACAGAAAUGAUAUUUUAACAAAAUUAAAUUCGUUAUCCCCAACUGGCAUUGCCUGUAGAAUUUCUUUACGAAAUUCUCUAUGUUGUGGUCCCGCCAAUAUAACAUUGUAGAGCCUAGGACAUUGUGAUGUCCCAGACUCUAU
Molecule: non-coding RNA, 165 nt
Filed under: Staphylococcus aureus subsp. aureus NCTC 8325
Lineage: Bacteria; Bacillati; Bacillota; Bacilli; Caryophanales; Staphylococcaceae
Description: Staphylococcus sRNA 35 (srn_0335)
Rfam family: Staphylococcus sRNA 35 (srn_0335)
About the family: Other name: Srn_0335, SAOUHSCs258. Northern blot transcript confirmed in exponentially growing and stationary cells in three cultivation media.
Source: Rfam by way of RNAcentral